UCCUCUUUACAGAGGCAGUUUGUCUCGAGUUCCCGACUCUACUCGCUGGUAACAAGACAUGAGGGUUGCGCUCGUUGCGGGACUUAACCCAACAUUUCACAACACGAGCUGACGACAGCCAUGCACCACCUGUGGAACACCCUCUAAGGCGAGUGGCUUUCACCACCUUGCAGUUCCAUGUCAAGCCCUGGUAAGGUUCUUCGCGUUGCAUCGAAUUAAGCCACAUGCUCCACCGCUUGUGCGGGCCCCCGCCAAUUCCUUUGAGUUUCAACCUUGCGGCCGUAGUCCCCAGGCGGUUCACUUAAUGCGUUAGCUGCGGCACCGAGGGAAACCCCCGACACCUAGUGAACAUAGUUUAGGGCCAAGACUAC
Molecule: unclassified non-coding RNA, 371 nt
Filed under: uncultured bacterium
Lineage: Bacteria
Description: contains 16S-23S intergenic spacer region
Source: RNAcentral